CCGCCCCGCCGCUCACGCUGCUGCUGCCGCCCCUCCGCACCGCCGGUGGCAGUCGCGCCGUUCUCCGGCGGUUACCUAUCUCCGCUUAUUCACUCGCGGCGCGACCCGUCUGCCCGGAGGGUGUGCAUCCCGUCCUGCCAACAAGCUGACCAGCGCGCUAAAUCCCUGUCUCCAGUGGAGAUAAUGACUUCAGAAAGUGAAUUCAGAAUUCAGGUAUGAGAGUUCACAUCAGGAUUCCCUGCAAACUCAUGCUAUCACCCAGCCAAGAUCAAACUGGUAUUUCCUGAGGAAAGACCGUCUUGCUGGGUGAGCCCUGAAAGAUGAUUGUGAGUUGCUAAAGACAUUUGAAAAGACCUCACUCAAUGCAAGAGAGAAACUGCAUGAAGUUUAUUUGUUUUGUUUACUGGUGUUUUUUUUUAUAAAAGAAUAACUCAAGGCAAUGAAGAACUUAUAGGAAGUUCAAUUAUUCCUUUGGGGGCUAAAGGAAAGCUAUUUUCUCAAAGGGAAUAGAGAGCAGAGAAUGUGACAGUCUGAUUUCCAUUUUACUCAUCUCACUCUUCUGUGCAUGAGCACCAGAAUAACAGUUCACAGAACAGAAAACUAGAUCUAUGUUUUUGCAUUUCUGUAGCAAGGCUGAAAAAGUGUUCUGAAACCCAAUACCAAUACACAGAGGUAGUCAGUUUAUCUGGAGGACGAGACCACCUUUGAAAAUAAAAAAACAAAAGAAUGCAAGACAAUAGGUAGAAUAUGUUUACAGCUGGUAAGAGAUUUAGAAGAAUGAGAAGAGCUUGUUUGCCUCUUCAUGCCUCAGACAUACCAGAGUGGACACAAGUUUGAACGUAUAAUUUCUCAGACACAAGCAGAUAUGAAGAAGCUUUUUCAAGAUGUUUUGUAGCAGUUGACAAGUCAUCACUGAAGUGUUUCUUGAAUUAUACAUGUGUUGCAUACAUCUGGGAUGGACAUUAGAAAUAUUCCAAUAUCAUGGAAUUGUGUUUUCCUGGUUUAUUUGAAAAAGCAAGUAUUGUACUUUCUCCGCCUCAGCUCAGAAUGGCUCCCUGAAGAGAAUGAGCUCUGCAAGGGUGCUCUGUCUCCCAUCUUCUCUGCUUCAGCAUCCUCAGGGCUGUGUUACCCUUCAAGUGUCAUAUGGAGAUGCUCAGGGGAUCUAGAGAUCAGAGGUUAGGAGGAAUGGAUCAGGGUUUGUGGGUGUGAGCCCUGGGGCCAGGACCUUCAUCUGGCCAAUCACAAGUUGGCAAGACAGGCUGCAUUUAUCCAACUCUUCUAUGAGAGGAGGGCUGUCUAAUGCUAUCAUGACAAAAGAGAGCCACUAAGCUUUGUUUUCUAUGUAAUUCUGAUUCCUGUUUCUAUAUCCUGAUUUCAUAAAUAACUUUUGUGAUGAGUUCUACCUGUUACACAGGAGACAAGGCAACUUACUUCUCCUCUUCUUGGCAGUACAUUUAACAUUAUGCAGAGCACACUGCUAACAUUUCAAAAGCUGCUAACAGCAUCUAGGGAUCCUUAAAAACAAUCACUCCUUCCACUGGAACUCCAGCAACUGACACUACACUGCAAUGUGAAAUGAUGUACAAAGACCAUCAUUACACUGACAUUUUAAAAUUCUCUAAUCUGGUAAAUGGAGCAAAAGGGAAUAAGUAUUGAAAAACACUUGCCUUCUGUUUACAUCCUUGGAGAAACAGAGUUUGACAAAUUAUGCAGGACUCUAACACAUAUUAAACUUGAGCUGGUAAAGAGAAUCCAUCUAACUAAAAUGUAGAUAAGUUACAUAUGAUAUAAACAUACACAGAACUGUUUCAGAAGAAUGGAGCCACUUUGUAUAACAGCAUGUAGUGACACACAGUAACUGUUUAAGGUCAGAAAUUAAGAGAGAAAUUAAGAGAGAAAAAUGAAUUGCAGGGGAACUCCAUGUUCUACAGUGCAUCUCAGGAAGCUGGAAAUGAGACAAAUGAGACAAAUACAUUUCCAAACAAAAAUUUGGUCAAGCAGAAGACUUACUACAAGCACUGCAGUUUGGCUAAAACAGUUAGCUAUCAAUAGUUAACCAAUGGUUUUCACUAGACAUAGAUGAAGACAACAGAAGGACCGCUUUUGCCUGGGAAACAGCCUCCAUGCCAAAAUACAAUCUGAAAUCAAAUUGAAUUUGAUGUAGAACAAUGAAAUAUACAGGCAAUUAUAUCAAGCAUUCUUAGUUUCCAUUCAUAAGACUACAAGAGAUUUGAGUAUCAGGAGUUGCAAUGACAUCCAUUCCUUUUCCCUAGUGUCUCUUGAUGACUGACACUGGUAGAAAUAGUAUUACAGGUAGGACAUUAACUGAGGGUGAAGUAAGACGCAAAGAUGGAAACUUCCCACAGUCCACCCAGAAACCUUAGAAGAAAAUCCUGCAAUAAAAUGGAACUACUUUUUGUCCUACAGUAAGAUUUUCUGAUAUUAAUAAUGAUUUCUUCCAUAGGCCCCAGCAAUUUCAGAUUAAACAGCUGAUAAAUGCAACGUUGAAACUCGCUUUUCUUGUUUGUGAAAGUAAGCAUUUUAUUAAUCACUUCUGUGGCAUGUGUGUACCUCUGCAGUGUUUAUUCUACUUGUUUCUGUGCCUACUCAUUUCAGCACUGAUUUUUAAUAUUAAAUUGUAUUUCCUAGCUCAGAACAGAAA
Numida meleagris (helmeted guineafowl) is the source of this 2662-nucleotide long non-coding RNA. RefSeq lists it as uncharacterized. NCBI's taxonomy places the organism in Eukaryota, Metazoa, Chordata, Aves, Galliformes, Numididae. The record is from RefSeq and is a predicted model, not a curated record. The transcript is spliced from 3 exons.